UGAAGUUUGAACUUAGUGGCGGACGGGUGAGUAACGCGUGAGCAACCUGCCUUACAGAGGGGGACAACAGUUGGAAACGACUGCUAAUACCGCAUGAUAUAUAUUGAGGGCAUCCUUGAUAUAUCAAAGAUUUAUCGCUGUAAGAUGGGCUCGCGUAUGAUUAGAUAGUUGGUGAGGUAACGGCUCACCAAGUCGACGAUCAUUAGCCGGACUGAGAGGUUGAACGGCCACAUUGGGACUGAGAUACGGCCCAGACUCC
This 259-nucleotide ribosomal RNA is filed under the name uncultured Oscillospiraceae bacterium. Its description in RNAcentral is "partial 16S ribosomal RNA". It matches the Rfam family "Bacterial small subunit ribosomal RNA", at positions 80 to 339 of the family's 1533-position model. Lineage: Bacteria; Bacillati; Bacillota; Clostridia; Eubacteriales; Oscillospiraceae. The record is from RNAcentral.